This 363-nucleotide long non-coding RNA is filed under the name Equus caballus (horse). RNAcentral's name for it is "lncRNA (ENSECAG00000059622.1)". Lineage: Eukaryota; Metazoa; Chordata; Mammalia; Perissodactyla; Equidae. The record is from RNAcentral.
GUGAGUGCUUUAGGCAGGUGUCUUUUUCAUCCUCAUACCCACAGUCCCAGCAGAGCACCUGGCACAUGAGGGUCACCCAGUAACACUCUAGUGUGAACGAGAAAUGAAUGGAUGAGUGACGAUGGCCUCUAGUCACUAUUUCUUCUUAGGUGGGAGGUAAAGAUGUUGAAAUUCCUGGGGCUGCCCUGUGGCCAAGUGGUUAAGUUCGCGCGCUGCUUUGGCGCCCAGGGUUUGCCAGUUUGGAUCCUGGGCGCAGACAUGGCACCGCUCAUCAGGCCCUGCUGAGGCAGCGUCCCACAUGCCACAACUAGAAGGACCCACAACUAAAAAUAUACAACUAUGUACCAGGGGGCUUUGGGGAGA